Molecule: long non-coding RNA, 1128 nt
Organism: Rattus norvegicus (Norway rat)
Lineage: Eukaryota; Metazoa; Chordata; Mammalia; Rodentia; Muridae
Source: RefSeq, a predicted model, not a curated record
GAGGGCAAGAGAGAGGGAUAAAGUCAUCCCUGCUUUCCUCUGUCAUGAGAAGGCAUGGAGACCUGAAAAAAAUGUCUGUCCCGCUGGUCACUGGGAAUCCCGGCUCUGCGCAAAGCGAGAGGCUGGAUGCUGGGGGCAAGGACCCCAGGCCCACAUCUGCAAACUGGGUGUUCUGAGGACCUCCUGAACCUCACACACACAGAGCAUUGCAGCACCUGUCCCUUGCAAGAACUGAAGGAUAUCUUAGAGCUCAGGAUUCAGCAUCUGAAUGAGGAAUGUCCCUCAAGGACACCCCACCUUUGUAACAGAUCAAUUCAAACGCACAAGCCCUUCAGCCAGUAAGUUUGCAAAGAGGUGCUUUGGGGCUGGGUGAACAGUGUGAGUCCCCCAGUCAGCAGAACUUCUAGUUAAGACUCCUGAGUCAUGGAGAGCUCUUCUCCAUUCUCCGUUUACUAACUGAACUUGAGUGGCCUGGUGCAGGCCCCUGGAGCCGCCUGGAACGCAGGGCCACCUCCCUGUCCUGACAGUGCACACUUUCCCCCCUUUGACCUCAGCAGGCACUUUCUCAGCAUCCUUCCUAACCCCUGGCCAGCUGGCCCACCCUGAGCCCUCGGGAUACGGGGUGAGGGUGAGCUGCCUGGUGGGUGUGAUGGGUUUUAUCCAUUCAUCUGUUUGCUUGGGUCCUGCUCUGGUCCAGAAGGGGCUGGGAGGUCAAAGGGAAAGUUUGUAUCCGAGGAACAUAAAUUACAAGCAAGAGUGAAAGCAGGAAGGGACCAGGAAGGAACAGACCUCGAGCCAGAACUGAGAAGGAAACAGACCAGACCAGACGAUGCCGGAACUGUUCCCAGGCUCCUGGCAGGGACAAGAUGCCAGCUUCCACGUCACAUGGUCCUGGCUCUGAAUAGUCCAAACCUCAGUGAGGCGGAUUCCUGCUAGAUGGGGUUGCUGGGGACCUAGCCACACCCAUCCUGGGGUAUCUCAGGAGAGACUGGCCGUGCAGAGUUGGCAGCAGGGUUCCAAACAGCAAGUCAGCCAAGCCAUUUCCCCUGGGUGUACCAGGGAAAGUCAACUGUUCAGUCCAGCGGGGAUAUACAUGGCUGAAAACUGAAAGAAAUCUCUAGACUAUUC